Molecule: ribosomal RNA, 87 nt
Filed under: Vibrio parahaemolyticus
Lineage: Bacteria; Pseudomonadati; Pseudomonadota; Gammaproteobacteria; Vibrionales; Vibrionaceae
Source: RNAcentral
UGACUCCAUUCCGAACUCAGAAGUGAAACGAAAUAGCGCCGAUGGUAGUGUGGGGUUUCCCCAUGUGAGAGUAGGAUAUCGCCAGGC